This 297-nucleotide ribosomal RNA is filed under the name uncultured bacterium. RNAcentral describes it as "partial 16S ribosomal RNA". It matches the Rfam family "Bacterial small subunit ribosomal RNA", at positions 337 to 627 of the family's 1533-position model. The record is from RNAcentral.
UCCUACGGGGGCAGCAGUAGGGAAUUUUCGUCAAUGGGCGCAAGCCUGAACGAGCAAUGCCGCGUGAGUGAGGAAGGUCUUCGGAUCGUAAAGCUCUGUUGCGGGGGAAAAAGGACAGGAAGAGGAAAUGCUUUCUGUUUGAUGGUACCCCGCCAGAAAGUCACGGCUAACUACGUGCCAGCAGCCGCGGUAAUACGUAGGGGGCAAGCGUUAUCCGGAUUUACUGGGUGUAAAGCGCUCGUAGGCGGGAUGUCAAGUCAAGGGUGAAAUCCCCGCGCUCAACGUGGGAACUGCCUU